Macaca mulatta (Rhesus monkey) is the source of this 196-nucleotide non-coding RNA. The record is from RefSeq and is a predicted model, not a curated record. NCBI's taxonomy places the organism in Eukaryota, Metazoa, Chordata, Mammalia, Primates, Cercopithecidae.
GGGUCAAGCAAUCCUCCCACCUCAGCUUCCCAAGUUUCUGAAAUUACAGAAGAAUCUUCCAUGAACAAAUAUUAUUCGGGUUAGAAAACUUUUAUCAGACGUUAUCUGGUUCCUUCAGCACUUCAUUGGUUUCUUUUCUUUUGUUGCUGUCUAGUACAUGAAAUUUAAUUUUCUUCAAUAAAAAGAUGGUAAUGUA